CGAGGAAUAUUGGUCAAUGGGCGCAAGCCUGAACCAGCCAUCCCGCGUGCAGGAAGACGGCGCUAUGCGUUGUAAACUGCUUUUCCAGGGAGAGAAACUUGCGCACGUGUUGCGCAAUUGACGGUACCCUGGGAAUAAGCAUCGGCUAACUCCGUGCCAGCGGCCGCGGUAAUACGGAGGAUGCGAGCGUUAUCCGGAUUCAUUGGGUUUGAAGGGUGCGUAGGCGGACUAUUAAGUCAGUGGUGAAAUCCUGCAGCUUAACUGCAGAACUGCCAUUGAUACUGAUAGCCUUGAGUUUGGUUAAGGUAGGCGGAAUGUGUAAUGUAGCGGUGAAAUGCUUAGAUAUUACACAGAACACCAAUUGCGUAGGCAGCUUACUGAGCCGACACUGACGCUGAGGCACGAAAGCGUGGGGAUCGAACAG
This 424-nucleotide ribosomal RNA is filed under the name uncultured bacterium. Its description in RNAcentral is "bacterial SSU rRNA". It matches the Rfam family "Bacterial small subunit ribosomal RNA", at positions 355 to 775 of the family's 1533-position model. The record is from RNAcentral.